This 800-nucleotide ribosomal RNA is filed under the name Staphylococcus saprophyticus. RNAcentral's name for it is "bacterial SSU rRNA". It matches the Rfam family "Bacterial small subunit ribosomal RNA", at positions 55 to 838 of the family's 1533-position model. The record is from RNAcentral. Lineage: Bacteria; Bacillati; Bacillota; Bacilli; Caryophanales; Staphylococcaceae.
AUGCAGUCGAGCGACAGAUAAGGAGCUUGCUCCUUUGACGUUAGCGGCGGACGGGUGAGUAACACGUGGGUAACCUACCUAUAAGACUGGGAUAACUUCGGGAAACCGGAGCUAAUACCGGAUAACAUUUGGAACCGCAUGGUUCUAAAGUGAAAGAUGGUUUUGCUAUCACUUAUAGAUGGACCCGCGCCGUAUUAGCUAGUUGGUAAGGUAACGGCUUACCAAGGCGACGAUACGUAGCCGACCUGAGAGGGUGAUCGGCCACACUGGAACUGAGACACGGUCCAGACUCCUACGGGAGGCAGCAGUAGGGAAUCUUCCGCAAUGGGCGAAAGCCUGACGGAGCAACGCCGCGUGAGUGAUGAAGGGUUUCGGCUCGUAAAACUCUGUUAUUAGGGAAGAACAAACGUGUAAGUAACUGUGCACGUCUUGACGGUACCUAAUCAGAAAGCCACGGCUAACUACGUGCCAGCAGCCGCGGUAAUACGUAGGUGGCAAGCGUUAUCCGGAAUUAUUGGGCGUAAAGCGCGCGUAGGCGGUUUCUUAAGUCUGAUGUGAAAGCCCACGGCUCAACCGUGGAGGGUCAUUGGAAACUGGGAAACUUGAGUGCAGAAGAGGAAAGUGGAAUUCCAUGUGUAGCGGUGAAAUGCGCAGAGAUAUGGAGGAACACCAGUGGCGAAGGCGACUUUCUGGUCUGUAACUGACGCUGAUGUGCGAAAGCGUGGGGAUCAAACAGGAUUAGAUACCCUGGUAGUCCACGCCGUAAACGAUGAGUGCUAAGUGUUAGGGGGUUUCCGCCC